This 468-nucleotide ribosomal RNA is filed under the name uncultured bacterium. RNAcentral's name for it is "partial 16S ribosomal RNA". It matches the Rfam family "Bacterial small subunit ribosomal RNA", at positions 28 to 507 of the family's 1533-position model. The record is from RNAcentral.
GACGAACGCUGGCGGCGUGCUUAACACAUGCAAGUCGAACGGAAAGGCCCUGCUUUUGUGGGGUGCUCGAGUGGCGAACGGGUGAGUAACACGUGAGUAACCUGCCCUUGACUUUGGGAUAACUUCAGGAAACUGGGGCUAAUACCGGAUAGGAGCUCCUGCUGCAUGGUGGGGGUUGGAAAGUUUCGGCGGUUGGGGAUGGACUCGCGGCUUAUCAGCUUGUUGGUGGGGUAGUGGCUUACCAAGGCUUUGACGGGUAGCCGGCCUGAGAGGGUGACCGGCCACAUUGGGACUGAGAGACGGCCCAGACUCCUACGGGAGGCAGCAGUGGGGAAUAUUGCACAAUGGGCGGAAGCCUGAUGCAGCAACGCCGCGUGCGGGAUGACGGCCUUCGGGUUGUAAACCGCUUUCGCCUGUGACGAAGCAUGAGUGACGGUAAUGGGUAAAGAAGCACCGGCUAACUACGUG